Non-coding RNA from Apiotrichum porosum, 96 nucleotides. NCBI's taxonomy places the organism in Eukaryota, Fungi, Basidiomycota, Tremellomycetes, Trichosporonales, Trichosporonaceae. The record is from the annotation of a RefSeq genome assembly.
GACGACUUCCCGUAGUGGUUAUCGGGUUACCUUGCUAUUGGUGUGUUCAAUCAGGUAAUGUGCUUGCACUCGAGAGUUCGAAUCUCUCAGUCGUCG